AGAGUUUGAUCAUGGCUCAGAUUGAACGCUGGCGGCAUGCCUAACACAUGCAAGUCGAACGAUUAGCCGGCUUCGGCCGGUGAGAGUGGCGGACGGGUGAGUAACGCGUGGGAAUCUGCCCAGUAGUGGGGGACAACCCGGGGAAACUCGGGCUAAUACCGCAUACGCCCUACGGGGGAAAGCGGGGGACCGCAAGGCCUCGCGCUAUUGGAUGAGCCCGCGUCCGAUUAGCUAGUUGGUGGGGUAAUGGCCCACCAAGGCGACGAUCGGUAGCUGGUCUGAGAGGACGAUCAGCCACACUGGGACUGGGACACGGCCCAGACUCCUACGGGAGGCAGCAGUGGGGAAUAUUGGACAAUGGGCGAAAGCCUGAUCCAGCAAUGCCGCGUGUGUGAAGAAGGCCUGCGGGUUGUAAAGCACUUUCGGUAGGAAAGAAAAGACUGUCGCUAAUACCGGCGGUUCUUGACGUUACCUACAGAAGAAGCACCGGCUAAUUCCGUGCCAGCAGCCGCGGUAAUACGGAAGGUGCGAGCGUUAAUCGGAAUUACUGGGCGUAAAGCGCGCGUAGGUGGUUCGGUAAGUCGGGUGUGAAAGCCCUGGGCUCAACCUGGGAAUUGCAUUCGAUACUGUCGAGCUAGAGUGUGGUAGAGGGGGGUGGAAUUCCAGGUGUAGCGGUGAAAUGCGUAGAUAUCUGGAGGAACACCAGUGGCGAAGGCGGCCCCCUGGACCAACACUGACACUGAGGUGCGAAAGCGUGGGUAGCAAACAGGAUUAGAUACCCUGGUAGUCCACGCCGUAAACGAUGUCAACUAGCCGUUGGAUCCGCUUUAAGGGUUUAGUGGCGCAGCUAACGCGAUAAGUUGACCGCCUGGGGAGUACGGCCGCAAGGUUAAAACUCAAAGGAAUUGACGGGGGCCCGCACAAGCGGUGGAGCAUGUGGUUUAAUUCGAUGCAACGCGAAAAACCUUACCAGCCCUUGACAUCCCGCGAACUGCCCAGAGAUGGUGGGUGCCCUUCGGGAGCGCGAGACAGGUGCUGCAUGGCUGUCGUCAGCUCGUGUC
Molecule: ribosomal RNA, 1061 nt
Filed under: uncultured bacterium
Lineage: Bacteria
Description: bacterial SSU rRNA
Rfam family: Bacterial small subunit ribosomal RNA
Source: RNAcentral